Triticum aestivum (bread wheat) is the source of this 700-nucleotide long non-coding RNA. RefSeq lists it as uncharacterized. NCBI's taxonomy places the organism in Eukaryota, Viridiplantae, Streptophyta, Magnoliopsida, Poales, Poaceae. The transcript has 5 exons. The record is from RefSeq and is a predicted model, not a curated record.
CCCCCCCCCCCCCAGGUGCUCAGGAUCCAAGAUCCGCCCCUCCAGCGACGGCAACGGACCGCGGCCAUCACCGUUCUCCCUUCCCGGAUCUCUCCUCCGCCUCGAAGCUCCGGUACACUCCGCGACGGCGACGGUUCUGUGGACGUAUUCUAUGUCAUCUGAUCAAAGGCUUUCAACUCACUAUAUCAUGUUGAUCUUGUUGUCUUUAUCGAUCAUUGAGAAGAAAGCAAGAAAGGUGCUCUGACAUUAGAACCAUUUUGCUUUGUCUGAAGACGCCGUGUUCAGUUGCUGGGUGCCUUUCGCUUCAUUGGUUUUGGCACUCGAGGACUACACAGAUUUUCUGAAGAAGCAAUCUGCAAAUUAGUUGAAGAGCAAAAGCAAAGGCGUUGCGGCUUUUCAAAUGCCCAAUGAAUAGAGAUAUAUUCAUCAUACCAAGAACCCAAGCCUUAGGCUUUUCUAGUUGAAGGAGGAGAUUACUGCAAUGGAGAGAACAUAAGUUCAGUCAACAUCAAGAUGCAGUACCUGAUGUCGAUGAGGAUGCGGAGUGGAGAAACGACUUGAGUAGGGCUAGUGAUCGCCGCCUUGCAAUUCUUCUAUUUCGAAAGUAUCUCUUGCCGUGGACUUGGCAAGUGAUAAUUCAUUUUUUUGUUAUUGUCAACAAAUUUGAAUGAUGAUGGCACAUGAAAACGGUUUCGACCAA